Molecule: long non-coding RNA, 8921 nt
Organism: Drosophila mojavensis
Lineage: Eukaryota; Metazoa; Arthropoda; Insecta; Diptera; Drosophilidae
Exons: 3
Source: RefSeq, a predicted model, not a curated record
GAUUUAAUAUCAUGUUUUGUCAUAUUUUACAACACCUGCAAACGAUGUUGGUAUGAUUCGUCAGUUAUGAUGUUGUCGCCCAAUAAGGCGAUGUCUUCUAUUCCUAAUUCUUACAUAUGCCUUAAUGUAAUGCCUUGGUUGUCGUCCGUAGUUUCGACGUCAUCCAUUCCUAUUCCUAUUUCUUGUAUAUUUCCAAGUCACAUGGACUGCUGAGAAUAUUUUUUUGGUUUGAUGUAAAGUGUGGUUCAACCGAUAUCUUUUUAUCCUACUUUUAACAUAAUAGCUGUGUUUUUUUUUUUUCAAGUAACGUGCUUUGUAGCUGUUUUUUUUUUUAAUGAAUAUUUUUUCGGUUUGAUGUAAAGUGUUUUUGAAGCCUAAGUGGGGAUUCCUUAUCAUGUUUUGUCAUAUUUUACAACACCUGCAAAUGAUGUUGGUAUGAUUCGUCAGUCGUGAUGUUGUCGCCCGAUAAAGCGAUGUCUUCUAUUCCUAAUUCUUACAUAUAACCCUAAUGUAAUGCCGUAGUUGUCGUCCGUAGUUUCGACGUCUUCCAUUCCUAUUCCUAUUUCUAGUAUAUUUCCAAGUCACGUGGACUGCUGAGAAUAUUUUUUUGGUUUGAUGUAAAGUGUGGUUCAAGCGAUAUCUUUUUAUCCUACUUUUAACAUAAUAGCUAUGAAGCCUAAGUGGGGAUUCCUUAUCAUGUUUUGUCAUAUUUUACAACACCUGCAAACGAUGUUGGUAUGAUUCGUCAGUUAUGAUAUUGUCGCCCGAUAAAGCGAUGUCUUCUAUUCCUAAUUCUUACAUAUUACCUUAAUGAAAUGCCGUAGUUGUCGUCCGUAGUUUCGACGUCUUCCAUUCCUAUUCCUAUUUCUAGUAUAUUUCCAAGUCACGUGGACUGCUGAGAAGUGUGGUUCAAGCGAUAUAUUUUUAUCCUACUUUUAACAUAAUAGCUGUGAAGCCUAAGUGGGGAUUUGAUAACAUGUUUUGUCAUAUUUUACAACACCUGCAAACGAUGUUGGUAUGAUUCGUCAGUCGUGAUGUUGUCGCCCGAUAAAGCGAUGUCUUCUAUUCCUAAUUCUUACAUAUGCCUUAAUGUAAUGCCUUGGUUGUCGUCCGUAGUUUCGACGUCUUCCAUUCCUAUUCCUAUUUCUAGUAUAUUUCCAAGUCACGUGGACUGCUGAGAAUAUUUAUUUUGGUUUGAUGUAAAGUGUGGUUCAAGCGAUAUCUUUUUAUCCUACUUUUAACAUAAUAGCUAUGAAGCCUAAGUGGGGAUUCCUUAUCAUGUUUUGUCAUAUUUUACAACACCUGCAAACGAUGUUGGUAUGAUUCGUCAGUUAUGAUAUUGUCGCCCGAUAAAGCGAUGUCUUCUAUUCCUAAUUCUUACAUAUUACCUUAAUGUAAUGCCGUAGUUGUCGUCCGUAGUUUCGACGUCUUCCAUUCCUAUUCCUAUUUCUAGUAUAUUUCCAAGUCACGUGGACUGCUGAGAAUAUUUUUUUGGUUUGAUGUAAAGUGUGGUUCAAGCGAUAUCUUUUUAUCCUACUUUUAACAUAAUAGCUGUGUUUUUUUUUCAAGUAACGUGCUUUGUAGCUGUUUUUUUUUUUUAAUGAAUAUUUUUUCGGUUUGAUGUAAAGUGUUUUUGAAGCCUAAGUGGGGAUUCUUUAUCAUGUUUUGUCAUAUUUUACAACACCUGCAAACGAUGUUGGUAUGAUUCGUCAGUCGUGAUGUUGUCGCCCGAUAAAGCGAUGUCUUCUAUUCCUAAUUCUUACAUAUAACCCUAAUGUAAUGCCGUAGUUGUCGUCCGUAGUUUCGACGUCUUCCAUUCCUAUUCCUAUUUCUAGUAUAUUUCCAAGUCACGUGGACUGCUGAGAAUAUUUUUUUGGUUUGAUGUAAAGUGUGGUUCAAGCGAUAUCUUUUUAUCCUACUUUUAACAUAAUAGCUAUGAAGCCUAUGUGGGGAUUCCUUAUCAUGUUUUUGUCAUAUUUUACAACACCUGCAAACGAUGUUGGUAUGAUUCGUCAGUUAUGAUAUUGUCGCCCGAUAAAGCGAUGUCUUCUAUUCCUAAUUCUUACAUAUUACCUUAAUCUAAUUAAGUGUGAUAUAUUAUUAAUCGGGCAAUGAGCGUCUGAUAAGGAGAUUUUGGGCUAGUAGAAUUUUCCUGCUGCAAGUUUGGUAUCAGUUUCAGGAUUCGUUGAAACAGCGGUGAACGGUGCUUCCUACUCUAUAUAGAUAUUUCUCUGGUCAUUUUCCUUACCUGCAUCAUAUAUCUAUUUUAUUCGAGAAUUGCGUAGGUCUUUGUAUCGUAUUGAAAGAGUCGUAGCAGCGUGCAUUCUCUUCAUCAAGAAUGACAACGGAAUCUGAUACUGAUCAGUGAAGGUCUGUGGGUUUAGGAUAUAGGAAAUGUGGAGACUCCUGAAGUUGGCUUAUUUCGUUGUGUACUCUUGACCCAUGGAAAAUGGUUAAUCAGGUUAUGUAGCCUUUUCAAUUGUAUUUAGAUAUUACUGGAACAUUUUCUAAAAAUAAGUAUGAGAGAAUAAGUGUACGCCGCUAGUGUGUGGCAUGGCUAAUUAGAAAGAGAGAUAUAUCUUUGUCUGACUUUUAGUGAUGAAUUGAACAGUGCGCUAAAUAAACAUAUUUCUUAUUUACAUAAUUCAUUGCUCAUUAUUCAUUGGUGUCACUGUCAGCUUUAGUCUCUUACGUACGUAUUCUAUAUUGGCAAAAGCCAUCCAAUGGGCUGUAUUCAAAACAGUUAUGGUGCCAAUGAUAACGCAUUGAUCAAUGGGCGUAUAAAGGCGCAUUAGUCGAACAAAGCUCCUGGCCCAGAUGUCAAUGUGAAUAGAGAUAACGCUAUUUCGUGUUUCUCUAAGCCUCAACUGAAUUUAAUUAAUUACGAGCAUUCGUUUUCUAUAAACCUCAAACGAAUUAUUAUUGUUCUUUGAUUCUGACAUUCAUUUCCGAGCCUAUUGAUUAGAACUCAAUUAGCUUUCACGCUUAAAAGCAAAGCUAAAUGUAUAUUGUUUUCUAUUUUUGAUGAAAUUGAUCUCAUUCUUCUAAAGGAUCUAAGAAAUUGCGGGGACAUGAUGAUGUGAUGUCCCCUUUAAUAUAUAUAUGCUAAAUGUUUUGCGAUUAUCUUUUGAAAAUUCUAAGUAGGAUUGGAUAUCAUUAUUUGGAAGGUAAAAUUUUGACCAAAGAAAAGAGAUCAAAAGUAUUCUAUUUCUGCAAGUAUGGUUAUGAUGGAGUUUCUUCAAUUAAGUCGAUCAGGGAGUGGACUGAGCUGAGGAUUAUUGACGAUGAAGAAAUUUGAAUUAUUGUUGAAGGGCUGCAAAAAAUGUGUCUGUGGAUGGAAUUGUAUGACACGAACUUAAAGUGAUUGACUUUGCUGAAUAUAUCAACGAUAUGUAUUGCAAUACCCUUGCGAGAAGGACUGGAGAUCGUUGGAGAGUAAUAUUCUAACAAAAUUGACGGAAAAAAAAUUCAGUUUUCUUUGGAAGAAUAUGCGAUUCACAAUCAGUACUGGUGAAACUGGAUUCUAAGAGUAUGAAAAGUUUUUUCAAUCAAGUAGAUCGCGGUUAGAUCCAAUAUGAUGGGAAUGGAGUCGAGUGAGAGAUAAAGAAAAUUGCGAUUCUGCAAAUAGUAUGUAGAUCAAGUAGAUCGCAGAGGUGUUCAAUAUGAUGAGAAGACUGGACUCGAAAUAUAAAAAAUAUUUUGUUCCCGCUAGUUUGAUGGACGUUCUUCAAUCAAGUAGUUCGCGAAAGUAUUAGAUAUGAUGAGAGGAUUAGUGGAAAUAUUCAAUAUGAUGAGAAGAUUAGACUUGAAAGAUCAAAAGUAUUCUGUUUCUGCCAGUUUGAUGGUCGUUCUUUAAUCAAGUAGAUCGCGGAUGCAUUUAGUAUUAUUAGACUGAGCUCAAGAUAUCAAGAAAAUUAUCUUUCUACAAAUCAGACGAUGUUUCUUCAAUCAAGUAGAUCGCCGAGAUAUUCAAUAUGAUGAGAAUGGACUUGAUAGAUCAAAAGUAUUCUGUUUCUGACAGUAUGAUGAUGGUUCUUCAAUCAAGUAUAUCAUGGAAGUAUUCGAUAUGAUGAGACUGCACUCGAGGUAUCGAAAAAAUGGUGUUUCUGAACAUAAGAUGGUCGUUCUUAAAUCAAGUAGAUCGCGGAGGUAUUUAAUAUUAUGAGACUGAACUCAAGAUAUCAUGAAAAUGGCAACCCUGCAAAAUCCAUAUUUAAUGUGGCGAGAAGACUGGACUCGAUAGAUCAAAUAUGAUGGUACUGCUUCUAUAAAGUAGAUUGCGGAGGUAUUCGAUAUGAUGAGAAGAUUAGACUCGAGAGAUAAAAAGUAUUCUGUUUCUGCCCGUAUGAUGGUGGUUCUUCAAUCAAGUAGAUGAGGGAGGUAUUCGAUAUGAUGAGACUGCACUCGAGGUAUCGGGAAAAUUGUGUUUCUGAAAAAAGUAUAUCGCGGAGAUAUUUAAUAUUAUGAGACUGGACUAAAGAUAUAUAUAUGAUGAGAAGACUGCACUCAAGAUAUCAUAAAAAGUGCAAUUCUGCAAAUUCAAUAUUCAAUAUGAUGAGAAAACUGGAUUCGAAAGAUCAAAAGUAUUGUUUCUGACAGUAUGAUGGUGGUUCUUCAAUCAAGUAGCUCGCGGAGGCAUUUACUAUGAUGCGACUGGACUCAAGAUAUCAAGAAAAUUGUCUUUCUACAAAUCAGAUGGUGUUUCUUCAAUCAAGUAGACCGCCGAGAUAUUCAAUAUGAUUGGACUCGAAAGAUCAAAAGUAUUCUGUUUCUGACAAUAUGAUGGUGGUUCUUCAAUCAAGAAGAUCGCGGAGGCAUUUAAUAUUAUGAGACUGAACUCAAGAUAUCAUGAAAAUGGCAACCUUGCAAAAUCCAUAUUUAAUGUGUCGAGAAGACUGGACUCGAUAGAUCAAAUAUGAUGGUGUUUCUUCAAUCAAGUAGAUCGCGGAGGUAUUCGAUAUGAUGUGACUGCACUCGAGGUAUUAGGAAAAUUGUGUAUUUGCAAGUAUGAUGGAGUUUCUUUAAAUUAAGUAUAUAACGGAGGUGUUUAAUAUGAUGCGACUGGACUCAAGAUAUCAAGAAAAUUGUCUUUCUACAAAUCAGAUGGUGUUUCUUCAAUCAAGUAGAUCGCCGAGAUUUUCAAUAUGAUGAGAUUGGGCUCGAAAGAUCAAAAGUAUUCUGUUUCUGACAGUAUGAUGGUGGUUCUUCAAUCAAGAAAAUCGCGGAGGUAUUUAAUAAUGAGACUGAACUCAAGAUAUCAUGAAAAUGGCAACUCUGGAAAAUCCAUAUUUAAUGUGGCGAGAGGACUGAACUCGAUAGAUCAAAUAUGAUGGUGUUUCUUCAAUCAAGUAGAUCGCGGAGGUAUUCGAUAUGAUGAGACUGCACUCGAGGUAUCAGGAAAAUUGUGUAUUUGCAAGUAUGAUGGAGUUUCUUUGAUUAAGUAUAUAGCGGAGGUAUUCAAUAUGAUGAGAAGAUUAGAGGAGGUAUUCAUUAUGAUGAGAUUAGACUCGAGAGAUAAAAAGUAUUCUGUUUCUGCCAGUAUGAUGGUCGUUCUUCAAUCAAGUAGCUCGCGGAGGUAUUCGAUAUGAUGUGACUGCACUCGAGGUAUCAGGAAAAUUGUGUAUUUGCAAGUAUGACGGAGUUUCUUUAGGUAUAUAGCGGAGGUAUAUAAUAUGAUGCGACUGGACUCGAGAUAUCAAGAAAAUUGUGUUUCUGCAAAUUCAACAUGAGAUAUGAUGAGAACACUGGACUCGAUAGAUCGAAAGUAUUUUGUUUCUGACAGUAUGAUGGUGGUUCUUCAAUCAAGUAGUUCGCGGAGGUAUUCAAUAUUAUGAGAAGAUUAGUGGAAAUAUUCAAUAUGAUGAGAAGAUUGGACUCGAAAGAUCAAAAGUAUUCUGUUUCUGCCAGUUUGAUGAUCGUUCUUCAAUCAAUUAGCUCGCGGAGGCAUUUACUAUGAUGCGACUGGACUCAAGAUAUCAAGAAAAUUGUCUUUCUACAAAUCAGAUGGUGUUUCUUCAAUCAAGUAGAUCGCCGAGAUUUUCAAUAUGAUGAGAUUGGGCUCGAAAGAUCAAAAGUAUUCUGUUUCUGACAGUAUGAUGGUGGUUCUUCAAUCAAGAAAAUCGCGGAGGUAUUUAAUAAUGAGACUGAACUCAAGAUAUCAUGAAAAUGGCAACUCUGGAAAAUCCAUAUUUAAUGUGGCGAGAGGACUGAACUCGAUAGAUCAAAUAUGAUGGUGUUUCUUCAAUCAAGUAGAUCGCGGAGGUAUUCGAUAUGAUGAGACUGCACUCGAGGUAUCAGGAAAAUUGUGUAUUUGCAAGUAUGAUGGAGUUUCUUUGAUUAAGUAUAUAGCGGAGGUAUUCAAUAUGAUGAGAAGAUUAGAGGAGGUAUUCAUUAUGAUGAGAUUAGACUCGAGAGAUAAAAAGUAUUCUGUUUCUGCCAGUAUGAUGGUCGUUCUUCAAUCAAGUAGCUCGCGGAGGUAUUCGAUAUGAUGUGACUGCACUCGAGGUAUCAGGAAAAUUGUGUAUUUGCAAGUAUGACGGAGUUUCUUUAAUUAAGUAUAUAGCGGAGGUAUAUAAUAUGAUGCGACUGGACUCGAGAUAUCAAGAAAAUUGUGUUUCUGCAAAUUCAACAUGAGAUAUGAUGAGAACACUGGACUCGAUAGAUCGAAAGUAUUUUGUUUCUGACAGUAUGAUGGUGUUUCUUCAAUCAAGUAGAUCGCGGAGGUAUUCGAUAUGAUGAGACUGCUCUCGAGGUAUCAGGAAAAUUGUGUAUUUGCAAGUAUGAUGGAGUUUCUUUGAUUAAGUAUAUAGCGGUAUAUAGGUAUUCAAUAUGAUGAGAAGAUUAGAGGAGGUAUUCAUUAUGAUGAGAUUAGACUCGAGAGAUAAAAAGUAUUUUGUUUCUGACAGUAUGAUGGUAGUUCUUCAAUCAAGUAGUUCGCGGAGGUAUUCAAUAUUAUGAGAAGAUUAGUGGAAAUAUUCAAUAUGAUGAGAAGAUUGGACUCGAAAGAUCAAAAGUAUUCUGUUUCUGCCAGUUUGAUGAUCGUUCUUCAAUCAAUUAGCUCGCGGAGGCAUUUACUAUGAUGCGACUGGACUCAAGAUAUCAAGAAAAUUGUCUUUCUACAAAUCAGAUGGUGUUUCUUCAAUCAAGUAGAUCGCCGAGAUUUUCAAUAUGAUGAGAUUGGGCUCGAAAGAUCAAAAGUAUUCUGUUUCUGACAGUAUGAUGGUGGUUCUUCAAUCAAGAAAAUCGCGGAGGUAUUUAAUAAUGAGACUGAACUCAAGAUAUCAUGAAAAUGGCAACUCUGGAAAAUCCAUAUUUAAUGUGGCGAGAGGACUGAACUCGAUAGAUCAAAUAUGAUGGUGUUUCUUCAAUCAAGUAGAUCGCGGAGGUAUUCGAUAUGAUGAGACUGCACUCGAGGUAUCAGGAAAAUUGUGUAUUUGCAAGUAUGAUGGAGUUUCUUUGAUUAAGUAUAUAGCGGAGGUAUUCAAUAUGAUGAGAAGAUUAGAGGAGGUAUUCAUUAUGAUGAGAUUAGACUCGAGAGAUAAAAAGUAUUCUGUUUCUGCCAGUAUGAUGGUCGUUCUUCAAUCAAGUAGCUCGCGGAGGUAUUCGAUAUGAUGUGACUGCACUCGAGGUAUCAGGAAAAUUGUGUAUUUGCAAGUAUGACGGAGUUUCUUUAAGUAUAUAGCGGAGGUAUAUAAUAUGAUGCGACUGGACUCGAGAUAUCAAGAAAAUUGUGUUUCUGCAAAUUUAACAUGAGAUAUGAUGAGAACACUGGACUCGAUAUAUCGAAAGUAUUUUGUUUCUGACAGUAUGAUGGUGGUUCUUCAAUCAAGUAGUUCGCGGGGGUAUUCAAUAUUACGAGACUGGACUUAAGAUAUCAAUAUGAUGAGAGGACUGGACUUAAGAUGUCAUCAAAAUUGCAAUUCUGCAAAUUUAAUAUUCAACAUGAUGAGAGAAGAUUGGACUCGAAAGAUCAAAAGUAUUCUGUUUCUGACAGUAUGAUGGUGGUUCUUCAGUCAAGUAGUUCGCGGACAUUCAAUAUGAUUAGACUGAACCCGAGGCAUCAGGAAAAUUGUGUUUCUGCAAAUUCAACAUGAGAUAUGAUGAGAGGACUGGACUCGAUAGAUCAUAUUUGGUGGUGUUUCUUCAAUCAAGUAGAUCGCGGUACCUCCGCAAUAUGAUGAGAAGAUUGGACUCAAGAUGUCAUCAAAAUUGCAACUCUGCAAAUUCAAUAUUUAAUAUGAUGAGAAGAUUGGACUCGGAAGAUCAAAAGUAUUUUAUGUCUGCUUGUUUUAUGGUCUUUCUUCAUUCAAUUAGAUCGUGGAGGUAUUUAGUAUUAUGAAACUGAACUCAAGAUAUCAUAAAAAUGGCAACUUUGCAAAAUCCAUAUUUAAUGUGGCGAGAAGACUGGACUCGAAAGAUCAAAAGUAUUCUGUGUCUGACAGUAUGAUGGUGAUUCUUCACUCAAGUAUAUCGCGGGGGCAUUCAAUAUAAGACUGGACUAGAGAGAUCAAGAUAAUACUUAGAAAAUUGUGUUUCUGCAAAUUUGAUGGUGUUUCUUCAUUCAAGUAGCUCGGAGAGUGGACUUGUAUUCAAAAAGAGGACAUUGGACUCUAGAGAUCAAAAGUAUUUCUGCAAGUAUAAUGGAAUUUCUACCACUACUAGAUCACGGGGGCAUUCGAUAUGAUGAGACUGGCGUUCAAAAUGAUGAGACUGGACUCGAAAGACCAAAGGUAUUCUGUUUCUGCAAGUAUGAUGGAGUUUCUUCAAUUAAGUUGAGCGGCGAGGCAUGGGACUGGGCUCGAGAGAUCAUGAAUAUUCUAUUGCUGCAAUAAUGACUAUGAUGGAGUUUUCUCGAUCAAUGUUAGAGCGUUAAAAUGAAAAACACUCCACAUUUGCCGAAUUCAAGAUCUUAACUGAACUCU